GGGAACGUACCUUUUGCUUCGGAAUAGCCUCGGGAAACUGGGAGUAAUACCGAAUGUGCUCUUCGGAGGAAAGAUUUAUCGGCAAAAGAUCGGCCCGCGUUGGAUUAGCUAGUUGGUGAGGUAAUGGCUCACCAAGGCGACGAUCCAUAGCUGGUUUGAGAGGAUGACCAGCCACACUGGGACUGAGACACGGCCCAGACUCCUACGGGAGGCAGCAGUGGGGAAUCUUAGACAAUGGGCGCAAGCCUGAUCUAGCCAUGCCGCGUGAGCGAUGAAGGCCUUAGGGUUGUAAAGCUCUUUCGCUGGGGAAGAUAAUGACUGUACCCAGUAAAGAAGCCCCGGCUAACUCCGUGCCAGCAGCCGCGGUAAUACGGAGGGGGCUAGCGUUAUUCGGAAUUACUGGGCGUAAAGCGCACGUAGGCGGACCAGAAAGUUAGGGGUGAAAUCCCGGGGCUCAACCUCGGAACUGCCUCUAAAACUCCUGGUCUUGAGUUCGAGAGAGGUGAGUGGAAUUCCGAGU
RNAcentral lists this ribosomal RNA (520 nucleotides) under uncultured bacterium. RNAcentral's name for it is "bacterial SSU rRNA". It matches the Rfam family "Bacterial small subunit ribosomal RNA", at positions 120 to 674 of the family's 1533-position model. The record is from RNAcentral.